Molecule: transfer RNA, 63 nt
Filed under: Staphylinidae sp. BMNH 1274190
Lineage: Eukaryota; Metazoa; Arthropoda; Insecta; Coleoptera; Staphylinidae
Description: tRNA-Gly
Source: RNAcentral
AUUUAUGUAAUAUAAUUAUUAUAUUUGACUUCCAAUCAAAAAAUCUAAACUUUAGCAUAAAUA